Molecule: ribosomal RNA, 253 nt
Filed under: uncultured bacterium
Lineage: Bacteria
Description: partial 16S ribosomal RNA
Rfam family: Bacterial small subunit ribosomal RNA
Source: RNAcentral
UACAGAGGGUGCGAGCGUUGUCCGGAAUCACUGGGCGUAAAGGGCGCGUAGGUGGCGACCCAAGUCUGUGGUGAAAGCUCGACGCUCAACGUCGAGUCGGCCAUAGAUACUGGGUUGCUUGAGCACUGUAGAGGCAGAUGGAAUUCCGGGUGUAGCGGUGGAAUGCGUAGAGAUCCGGAGGAAGACCGGUGGCGAAGGCGGUCUGCUGGGCAGUUUCUGACACUGAUGCGCGACAGCGUGGGGAGCAAACAGG